GACGUAGGAUGCGAGCGUUGUCCGGAUUUAUUGGGCGUAAAGAGUUCGUAGGCGGUUCGUUAAGUCUGAUGUUAAAGACUGGGGCUCAACCUCGGGAGUGCAUUGGAUACUGGCGGACUUGAGUGCAGUAGAGGCGAGUGGAAUUCUCAGUGUAGCGGUGAAAUGCGUAGAUAUUGGGAAGAACACCGGUGGCGCAGGCGACUCGCUGGGCUGUAACUGACGCUGAGGCGCGAAAGCGUGGGGAGCAAACAGG
Molecule: ribosomal RNA, 253 nt
Filed under: uncultured bacterium
Lineage: Bacteria
Description: partial 16S ribosomal RNA
Rfam family: Bacterial small subunit ribosomal RNA
Source: RNAcentral